UAGGGAAUCUUCGGCAAUGGACGAAAGUCUGACCGAGCAACGCCGCGUGAGUGAAGAAGGUUUUCGGAUCGUAAAACUCUGUUGUUAGAGAAGAACAAGGACGUUAGUAACUGAACGUCCCCUGACGGUAUCUAACCAGAAAGCCACGGCUAACUACGUGCCAGCAGCCACGGUAAUACGUAGGUGGCAAGCGUUGUCCGGAUUUAUUGGGCGUAAAGCGAGCGCAGGCGGUUUCUUAAGUCUGAUGUGAAAGCCCCCGGCUCAACCGGGGAGGGUCAUUGGAAACUGGGAGACUUGAGUGCAGAAGAGGAGAGUGGAAUUCCAUGUGUAGCGGUGAAAUGCGUAGAUAUAUGGGGGAACACCAGUGGCGAAGGCGGCUCUCUGGUCUGUAACUGACGCUGAGGCUCGAAAGCGUGGGGAGCAAACAGG
RNAcentral lists this ribosomal RNA (429 nucleotides) under Gemmatimonadota bacterium. RNAcentral describes it as "Gemmatimonadetes bacterium partial 16S ribosomal RNA". It matches the Rfam family "Bacterial small subunit ribosomal RNA", at positions 355 to 776 of the family's 1533-position model. The record is from RNAcentral. Lineage: Bacteria; Pseudomonadati; Gemmatimonadota.